AGAGAGAGACAUGCGCGCAUAUCAAUAAGCGGAGGAAAAGAAACUAACAAGGAUUCCCUUAGUAACGGCGAGUGAAGCGGGAAGAGCUCAAAUUUGAAAUCUUCAAGGUUUUACCUUGACGAAUUGUAGUUUAAAGAAGUGUUUUCUGCUGAAGUUUUGGUAAAAGUUCUUUGGAAUAGGACAUCAUAGAGGGUGAGAAUCCCGUAUUUGACCAUUAUUUUCAGCUUUGUGAUACACUUUCAAAGAGUCGGAUUGUUUGGGAAUGCAGUCCAAAAUGGGUGGUAAAUUUCAUCUAAAGCUAAAUAUUGGCGAGAGACCGAUAGCGAACAAGUACCGUGAGGGAAAGAUGAAAAGGAACUUUCGAAAAGAGAGUUAAACAGUACGUGAAAUUGUCAAAAGGGAAGCGUUUGACACCAGUGUUGUUUUCUCGAAAAUCAAUUAAAAAUGGCUCGAUUUUGUAUUGUUGAGACCUUAAAAGCUCACUGUACAUUUUUCGUGUCUUUUUUAAUGCACUUUUCGUUUAACAAGUCAACAUCAGUUUCUUUUGUUGUAAAAGGGUCAUUGGAAGGUGGCUUCCUUUUCGGAGAAAGUGUUUAUAGCCUUUGGCCUCUGCAAUCGAAGAGACUGAGGUCUGCAGCGUAGACUCUUCGGGGUUAGAUACAUUUGUGCUAAGUUAUAGCUUUUUAUAGACAACUUGUUGACUAUAAUUAGUCUUGUAGCUUACUCGCUUAUGCUAUUUUACCUACGCUUAGGAUGUUGAAGAUGUAGCACAUCAU
Molecule: ribosomal RNA, 776 nt
Filed under: uncultured Neocallimastigales
Lineage: Eukaryota; Fungi; Neocallimastigomycota; Neocallimastigomycetes; Neocallimastigales
Description: partial large subunit ribosomal RNA
Rfam family: Eukaryotic large subunit ribosomal RNA
Source: RNAcentral